AUUCUAAAGCAAGCGCACAUCUCUAAUUAGCACAGCACGGAGCGAGACGGAUCAGGUACUGGAGCCAUCACCUUUCUGCUUACUGUCUCGGCUCCCAACGCAUCGGCAUCGGUCACCAUCGCGCACUCGUACGCGCUCGGUCUGCCUAACGCCCUCUUCUUUCGUCUCUGCCCCUUCGUAUUCGUAUACAUUGGAAACCCCAUCCACACAACUAGCCGCAGCAGUGGCUGUAGUCCAUAGUAGCCGUAGUAAUAGUAGCAACCCCCCCCCCCCCCAUCGCCUGCACGUGUGUGUGCGUGAGAAAUACAGGGCGCCUUAUCGGCUCACGCACCGCCCCUCCUCUCCUCCAGCCACCGGUGCGCCGAGCCACACACACACACACACACACAGAGUAUAGACACAUCCUCUCCCUGCGUGUGAACCUCUCGCCACCUUUCUUUCUCCCAGCAUGUUGCUUCGAGCGAGUGCCUCUAGCACUCUGCGCACCCGCGGCGGCAGCUGCUGCAGUGGGGUCUGCACGGGCCUCUACGGCUUUGGCUGUCUGACGGUGCAGCAGCGCUUCAUCGAGUACUGGGGCUCGGGUGUGACGGGUCGCACGCAGCCGUAUGCGCAGGGUGACAUGAUCCCGCGCGUCGACAACAUGCGUUACCCGGUCAACAAGGCCACCAGCGCAGCCGCGAGUCUCACCGGUAACCAGUCCUGCAUCGCCUACGACACCUCCAACAUCUUCCGGGUGGAGGGCUUCAGCCCACUAGAGAAGGAGCACUACCAGUCACUGCGCGGCUCUACAAGACACAAGGUGGAGCCGCUGCCGCCUCACAUCGGCAAGGAUGUGAUGGUGUUGCUGAAGAACAUGUCGGAAGAGGGCUUGCUGGAAGAGUACUGGUGGACCCGCGUGGUGAAGGACUUUCCGUCGCUGAAGACGCCGUGCACGGCUGAGUUUAAGAGUGCGUGGGAGAAGUUCUACGCAGAGGCGAGCGGCGUGGCGCACGACGACGAGGCUGUGAAAGCGAUUAGCAGGCCCUUCUUGCAGACACAGAUGCAGAAGAACUACAUCGCAUACGCGAUGGUUUGGCGCUUGGCUGAGCGACUGUGCGAGGCCUUUGACGCGGCACCGCAGUUGACCGUGUACGAGAGACGCGGCGGCCGCCUGGCGGUGGAGCGGGUCACAAAACUGAUGCUCGACACGAUAGCUGACGAGCCGUGGGCACAUCAGGAGACCACGAGCCCACUACACGUCGACAUCUCCAAUUUCCGUGCCUGGCAUGAGGCCGGCUACUGGUAGGCGGAGAGUGCUUGAGUGGCUGCCCGAAAGACGCAUGGGCUACCAAAGAUCUUGAAACAAGAGAGCUCUCGCUUCUCUCUUUCUCUCUCUCUCUGUCGCACUGUUGGCGCAUGCGUUCGCGUGUGCGCGCUGCUCUCCGCUCCGUCACUCUCGUGUUGAAGCCUCUCUCCGAUUCGUCAUCCACAGAAGCGGCCGCAGGGACACCUCUUCUCCUCCUUUCUGUGCGCGGUCCCAACAGAGCGAAAAACAACAUCGAAAAGAGGACCUCAAGCAGUCCAUUCGCAUGCUUCGCCCAACAGCAGGCGCGCCUGCGUCGAAGCCGACAUGCAGCCACGUCUGUGUGCGUAUCUGGGGCGGACGCGUUCUCUUCGUUGGUGGGACAGCCCCGCGGAGAGAGCGAAAAGUGGUGGCGCCAACGGCGAUGCACUCGCGACGAUAUUCCGGCCGCUGUAACGCGGUGAGUGCGGUGCUCUCCGGCACCCCCCCCCGGUGAAGCGCGUCCCGCCACCUCGUCCAGAAUGCGCCUCUGCUGUUUAUUCCGUUGCCUGCACUCGGGUAGUUUCGCAGGCCAUCCUCCCACCCGUCAGCCUUUCACUCUCUCUUACUCCUCUCUGCACUGUCGCAUACCAAAG
Molecule: unclassified non-coding RNA, 1917 nt
Filed under: Leishmania donovani
Lineage: Eukaryota; Euglenozoa; Kinetoplastea; Trypanosomatida; Trypanosomatidae
Description: gene:LdHU3.29.0990(CDS-product:NADH-ubiquinone_ox idoreductase_complex_I_subunit_putative)
Source: RNAcentral